GAUGAACGCUGGCGGCGUGCCUAAUACAUGCAAGUCGAGCGAACAGAUAAGGAGCUUGCUCCUUUGACGUUAGCGGCGGACGGGUGAGUAACACGUGGGUAACCUACCUAUAAGACUGGGAUAACUUCGGGAAACCGGAGCUAAUACCGGAUAACAUUUGGAACCGCAUGGUUCUAAAGUGAAAGAUGGUUUUGCUAUCACUUAUAGAUGGACCCGCGCCGUAUUAGCUAGUUGGUAAGGUAACGGCUUACCAAGGCGACGAUACGUAGCCGACCUGAGAGGGUGAUCGGCCACACUGGAACUGAGACACGGUCCAGACUCCUACGGGAGGCAGCAGUAGGGAAUCUUCCGCAAUGGGCGAAAGCCUGACGGAGCAACGCCGCGUGAGUGAUGAAGGGUUUCGGCUCGUAAAACUCUGUUAUUAGGGAAGAACAAACGUGUAAGUAACUGUGCACGUCUUGACGGUACCUAAUCAGAAAGCCACGGCUAACUACGUGCCAGCAGCCGCGGUAAUACGUAGGUGGCAAGCGUUAUCCGGAAUUAUUGGGCGUAAAGCGCGCGUAGGCGGUUUCUUAAGUCUGAUGUGAAAGCCCACGGCUCAACCGUGGAGGGUCAUUGGAAACUGGGAAACUUGAGUGCAGAAGAGGAAAGUGGAAUUCCAUGUGUAGCGGUGAAAUGCGCAGAGAUAUGGAGGAACACCAGUGGCGAAGGCGACUUUCUGGUCUGUAACUGACGCUGAUGUGCGAAAGCGUGGGGAUCAAACAGG
RNAcentral lists this ribosomal RNA (766 nucleotides) under uncultured Caryophanaceae bacterium. RNAcentral's name for it is "bacterial SSU rRNA". It matches the Rfam family "Bacterial small subunit ribosomal RNA", at positions 28 to 776 of the family's 1533-position model. The record is from RNAcentral. Lineage: Bacteria; Bacillati; Bacillota; Bacilli; Caryophanales; Caryophanaceae.